GGUCGCUUGGUCUAGUGGCAUGAUUCGUGCCUAGGGCGCACGAGGUUGUGGGUUCGAUUCCCGCAGUGACCC
RNAcentral lists this transfer RNA (72 nucleotides) under Acidobacteriaceae bacterium. RNAcentral's name for it is "tRNA-Pro". It matches the Rfam family "tRNA". Rfam says of the family: Transfer RNA (tRNA) molecules are approximately 80 nucleotides in length. Their secondary structure includes four short double-helical elements and three loops (D, anti-codon, and T loops). Further hydrogen bonds mediate the characteristic L-shaped molecular structure. tRNAs have two regions of fundamental functional importance: the anti-codon, which is responsible for specific mRNA codon recognition, and the 3' end, to which the tRNAs corresponding amino acid is attached (by aminoacyl-tRNA synthetases). tRNAs cope with the degeneracy of the genetic code in two manners: having more than one tRNA (with a specific anti-codon) for a particular amino acid; and 'wobble' base-pairing, i.e. permitting non-standard base-pairing at the 3rd anti-codon position. The record is from RNAcentral. Lineage: Bacteria; Pseudomonadati; Acidobacteriota; Terriglobia; Terriglobales; Acidobacteriaceae.